This is a non-coding RNA of Pelobates cultripes (western spadefoot toad), 786 nucleotides long. NCBI's taxonomy places the organism in Eukaryota, Metazoa, Chordata, Amphibia, Anura, Pelobatidae. The record is from the annotation of a GenBank genome assembly.
UAUAUAAACAGCCGUUUCCAGGUUAGACAAUGCCAUAAAAUACGUCCAGCAGGAGCAGACUACGUGUAAAAAAAUAAAAAUAAAAUAAAGUCUUGACAUUUUUUUAAACCAGGCCCGUUACUAAACAGAGUUUAGAAUUGUUUCUUUUUAAAACCGGGUCAAGUAAAAAAUGAACCCUCCUAUCUCAAAUAAAUGUGAAUAUCUAUAUAACCUGGACUUGUGUUGAAGUUUUACUCUUUUUUUUUUAGUUUGCCGAAUAUUUUUAUUUCCUGGCUGCUUGAUUGACAGCUGUGAUGGUACAAGUUUAGAGUUGGGUGCUUUUAAUUUACAAAUUGCUGCAGAUUUGCAAUGGAUCACUGCAGAUAUAUUGCCUCUCCUCGUGUGAGGCCAAUGAAGUAUUGAUUGUUACUGGUCUGUUUUGGAAAUUUAAAAAAAUAUAUAUUUUUUGGACAUACAACUAUUAAGUGAUUUGUACUAGGUGGAGGAUUUGUAUGCAUUUCCUCAAUAAUGCAUUACCAUAUGGUGGUUCGGGGGAGCAGGCGCUACUCCAAGUAGUAUAAUUCCUUUUAAAGUACAAGUUGAUUUCUUAUUAUUCCAAGGGCAUCUUAUCUGCUUUGAACAAUAUUAAGUUUUUUUUAAAGUUUAGUGGCUCUUUAUUAUUUAUUAAUUUCAGACUAGAACUACACAUAUUUCUCCUUUUUAGAAAUAUGCGAUAAUCCCUCAUUUACAAAUGUCCAGAAAGGUUGUGUGAUUUUAAUAUUUUUCUGACUUUUCUCAAGAAAAUAC